This 73-nucleotide transfer RNA is filed under the name Cordylochernes scorpioides. RNAcentral's name for it is "tRNA-Trp". It matches the Rfam family "tRNA". From Rfam's summary of the family: Transfer RNA (tRNA) molecules are approximately 80 nucleotides in length. Their secondary structure includes four short double-helical elements and three loops (D, anti-codon, and T loops). Further hydrogen bonds mediate the characteristic L-shaped molecular structure. tRNAs have two regions of fundamental functional importance: the anti-codon, which is responsible for specific mRNA codon recognition, and the 3' end, to which the tRNAs corresponding amino acid is attached (by aminoacyl-tRNA synthetases). tRNAs cope with the degeneracy of the genetic code in two manners: having more than one tRNA (with a specific anti-codon) for a particular amino acid; and 'wobble' base-pairing, i.e. permitting non-standard base-pairing at the 3rd anti-codon position. The record is from RNAcentral. Lineage: Eukaryota; Metazoa; Arthropoda; Arachnida; Pseudoscorpiones; Chernetidae.
AGUCCUGUGGCCCAACGGAUAAGGCGUUGACCUCCAGAUCCAAAGAUUGUGGGUUCGAAUCCCAUCAGGAUCA